GAUUGAACGCUGGCGGCGUGCUUAACACAUGCAAGUCGUGCGGUAACAGGCGUAGCAAUACGUGCUGACGAGCGGCGAACGGGUGCGUAAUACAUGGGAAUCUGCCCUUUAGUGGGGAAUAACCCGGCGAAAGCCGGGCUAAUGCCGCAUAAGAUCUCCGGAUGAAAGCGGGGGACCGUAAGGCCUCGCGCUGAUGGAUGAGCCCAUGUCGGAUUAGCUAGUUGGNGAGGUAACGGCUCACCAAGGCGACGAUCCGUAGCUGGUCUGAGAGGACGGCCAGCCACACUGGGACCUGAGACACGGCCCAGACUCCUACGGGAGGCAGCAGUGGGGAAUAUUGGACAAUGGGGGAAACCCUGAUCCAGCGACGCCGCGUGUGUGAAGAAGGCCUGCGGGUUGUAAAGCAC
Molecule: ribosomal RNA, 407 nt
Filed under: uncultured bacterium
Lineage: Bacteria
Description: bacterial SSU rRNA
Rfam family: Bacterial small subunit ribosomal RNA
Source: RNAcentral